This 505-nucleotide ribosomal RNA is filed under the name uncultured bacterium. Its description in RNAcentral is "partial 16S ribosomal RNA". It matches the Rfam family "Bacterial small subunit ribosomal RNA", at positions 28 to 507 of the family's 1533-position model. The record is from RNAcentral.
GACGAACGCUGGCGGCGUGCCUAAUACAUGCAAGUAGAACGCACAGUUUAUACCGUAGCUUGCUACACCAUAAACUGUGAGUUGCGAACGGGUGAGUAACGCGUAGGUAACCUGCCUGGUAGCGGGGGAUAACUAUUGGAAACGAUAGCUAAUACCGCAUAAUAUUGAUUAUUGCAUGAUAAUUGAUUGAAAGAUGCUAUUGCAUCACUACCAGAUGGACCUGCGUUGUAUUAGCUAGUAGGUGAGGUAACGGCUCACCUAGGCGACGAUACAUAGCCGACCUGAGGGGGUGAUCGGCCACACUGGGACUGGGACACGGCCCAGACUCCUACGGGAGGCAGCAGUAGGGAAUCUUCGGCAAUGGACGAAAGUCUGACCGAGCAACGCCGCGGGAGUGAAGAAGGUUUUCGGAUCGUAAAGCUCUGUUGUAAGAGAAGAACGGGUGUGAGAGUGGAAAGUUCACACUGUGACGGUAUCUUACCAGAAAGGGACGGCUAACUACGUG